RNAcentral lists this ribosomal RNA (342 nucleotides) under uncultured bacterium. Its description in RNAcentral is "bacterial SSU rRNA". It matches the Rfam family "Bacterial small subunit ribosomal RNA", at positions 28 to 371 of the family's 1533-position model. The record is from RNAcentral.
GAUGAACGCUAGCGGGAGGCCUAAUACAUGCAAGUCGAACGGUAAGGUCCCUUCGGGGAUACACGAGUGGCGGACGGGUGCGUAACGCGUACGAAACAUACCUUCAACAGGGAGAUACCUCCGGGAAACUGGAAAUAAUACCCCAUAGUAUUGAGAUAUCGCAUGAUAUUUCAAUUAAAGCUUUGGCGGUUGAAGAUUGUCGUGCGUCUGAUUAGCUAGUUGGUGAGGUAACGGCUCACCAAGGCGACGAUCAGUAGCUGGUCUGAGAGGAUGAUCAGCCACACUGGAACUGAGACACGGUCCAGACUCCUACGGGAGGCAGCAGUAGGGAAUAUUGGACAA